AAUCUGAUGCUUAUGGCUGUAUGUGCAAUAUUACUAUGAAUUAUAUAUGGAUCUUGAUAAUCCAUUUACAACUUACCUCGAUGCUAUAAAUAUCAUGCACGGCCACCUUUUUCUCCUUUCCAAGAUUUUGUUUGAAAAGUCAAAGAUUUAAGUCAUCUUUUAUCCAGAGUUGAUUUCCAAGUUUUUAUUUUUCUUACGGAAGCUUCCGAAGUCUUACUCGUAAUGCCGCCAUCCGAGUAGGUGGAUGGUUCAUAUUGCAUAGUUCAGAGACAUGAAGUGCCCUUCAUGUGGGUCCUCCUAUCAUAUAUUUAUAUGCAUGUAUAUAUAAGAUAUGGAAGAAGAAUAUAAAGAUAAUUGAUUUAUGACAUGUUGUCUGACGAUCGACUGCUGAAUUCUUGGUUUGUGUUUGGCCUUUGUGCAGAUAUCUGGUGGCUGCGCUUUCGGUCACUGGUUUGUACAGCAUCAUCACCAUGUUGGUUUCCUUGUUUUCCAUCGCAAGCCCCUCUCCAUCACCAAAGACGCUGUUCCUUCUCAUCCUCUUCGACACGGUAGACUAACUAACUUUAGUUUGUGGUGGUGUUGGAUCCAUAUCGACCACUUGGAUAUAAACUUUUAUAUGGUGACAUGAAGCAGCCAUGUAUGACGACGUUGCUUCUCUUUUGACAGCUGAUGGCCGGAGUGAUGGCUUCAGCCACCGGCAACGCGGGAUCCGUCGCCUACAUAGGUCUGAAGGGCAACUCUCAUGUGAAUUGGAACAAGAUCUGCAACAUGUAUGGGAAGUUCUGCCGGCACGUAGGCAGCUCCACGGCCGUCUCCCUCAUCGCCUCCAUCGUCCUCGUCUUGCUCGUCGUGCUCUCCUCCUAUUCUCUCUACCGUCGCAGUCGCUAAUGAUAGUUAACGCGUCCACCUUCUCUCUUUAGCAGGUAGAGUUUGGUGUCACGUUUAGUGGUGUGUAAUCCAUUCACAUGGUCUUGUCGCCGUCGUCGUCGUUCGUCUUGU
Molecule: long non-coding RNA, 999 nt
Filed under: Musa acuminata (dwarf banana)
Lineage: Eukaryota; Viridiplantae; Streptophyta; Magnoliopsida; Zingiberales; Musaceae
Description: long non-coding RNA (MACU_LNC005589)
Source: RNAcentral